UGAGGACCACAAAUAAGCUGGCACCUAACUAGACUGAAAGUUGUGCAUUAUCACUGCAAGAAUCUGCUUUUCUUAGUUCUCCAGCUACCGGUUGAAGUCUUCGGAGUUAUUCUUGUGCUUUUUCAGCACUUUAAAGUUCUGGUGUAUAUCUUUUCCCGCAAUGUCAUUGGCUUCAAGAAGCCUGGCAAAGGUACUAAACCUUUAUCAUCAAUCUUCAGCAUCUUGCCUGCGACCUCUUCCAACAAUUCAAGAGUCAGGACUUGGGAGAAAAUGAGAGCGGACUCUCUCUGGCAAUUGUAAUACACAGCAGCCACUGGAGAACCGAGAUUGUAGAGCUCUGCAAAGUCUCUGGUGUUGAAGUUCUGACGCCAGCCUGGUGCAUAGACAAUCUGCCUUCCCAGCUGCUGAAACAGCACAAAUACGAUGCGAUGGAUGCCAAGAGAUGGCCGUGGGUUCUCGUAGCACACCACCUCUUGCCCUGCACUCAGAGAUAGACCGCCCGGUUUAAGUUCUUUUGUUCUUGUAACAGCCUAUCCGCAACAAUGAAACUACGUCGAUACUGCGUGCAAAACAGCGACAGUACGUGGGGUCAAUGUGCAGUUAUCCCUAGGAUGAACAAGGAUAAAAGACUGCAGGUCUAAUGUGUGCAAUUAUCCCUAGGGUGAACAAGCAUAAAAGACUAUACUAUUUUUUGGACUCUAAAGAAAUAAGAGGUGGAGAAAAAUAUAAUGGCCUACCAGUGAAGGUAUUCCCUUAAGGUAGGGUCACUUGGACUAGGAGCAUCUGGGUCUACCAUCACCUGCAAACAUAUAUGUACACAUAUAUAAACAUCUCAUGCUUGUGCACGCAACUCAUGCCCCAAACGAGGAAAGGGAAGGCAUCACCCUUCCUCCUUUGUGUUUGUGUGCAAGACCAAGAACUGGCUCAGACCAAUGCCAGAAAUGGUGGAGUCACGUCCUGUUGAGACAAAUUUGGAUAGGUUCCUCAUCAGCUUGCACAGUUUUAGGUUCGAGAUCACUGAGGAAACCCGAUGUUACAGUGGCUUUGUUUGUCUGGUUGGUUCGCCACUAGCGCGCAUCGCCCUGGCCUUGCUGAACCACAGGAUUGAGUAGGAUAGCAACCCCCAAUAAUUUCAUGGAGCUAGAGAGGAGUUGGUGUUGGAAUUAUUGGUCACGUAUCACACUUUAUGGUCGGAAAGAAUGGAAGAAGACAUGCCCGUCUUCAAACCGAAACAAGGUUGCUUGAAGGGAAAGCAUUGCCACUUUAAGGAAGGAAACUGUGGGAGCUAUCUCGAAAGAAUCCUUUCCUUCAACGGCCAGAGAAGAAAGCAGAGAACGAAAGGGGUUGGAAACAUUCACGUGUUAGGAUGACAAGUUCCCACUUGAGUUUUUAUUUGAAGAAUGUGAUGGAGAAGGAAGUUAGAAUAAGAGAUAAGAAAGUAGAGGAGCUGAGAGAGAUACUGUGAAACAAUACCGUUGGCAUACCGAGCGGGAUUUUUCCUGGAAAUGAUGUUGCUUUCCAAAAGAUCAAGGUCUGAUGUGAACUUAAGAAGGGAACAGAUAAGGAAGUGGAUUUCAAUA
This is a long non-coding RNA of Asparagus officinalis (garden asparagus), 1580 nucleotides long. RefSeq lists it as uncharacterized. The transcript is spliced from 5 exons. The record is from RefSeq and is a predicted model, not a curated record. Lineage: Eukaryota; Viridiplantae; Streptophyta; Magnoliopsida; Asparagales; Asparagaceae.